RNAcentral lists this ribosomal RNA (440 nucleotides) under uncultured bacterium. RNAcentral describes it as "partial 16S ribosomal RNA". It matches the Rfam family "Bacterial small subunit ribosomal RNA", at positions 338 to 795 of the family's 1533-position model. The record is from RNAcentral.
CCUACGGGUGGCAGCAGUGGGGGAUAUUGCACAAUGGAGGAAACCCUGAUGCAGCGACGCCGCGUGUGGGAAGACGGUCCUCUGGAUUGUAAACCACUGUCGCCAGGGACGAAGAUGACAGUACCUGGGGAGGAAGCUCCGGCUAAAUACGUGCCAGCAGCCGCGGUAAUACGUAGGGAGCGAGCGUUGUCCGGAAUUACUGGGUGUAAAGGGAGCGUAGGCGGGACUGCAAGUUGGGUGUCAAAGCAACCGGCUCAACCGGUAGCCGCGCUCAAUACUGCCGUUCUUGAGUGAAGUAGAGGCAGGCGGAAUUCCUAGUGUAGCGGUGAAAUGCGUAGAUAUGAGGAGGAACACCAGUGGCGAAGGCGGCCUACUGGGCUUUUACUGACGCUGAGGCUCGAAAGUGUGGGGAGCAAACAGGAUUAGAUACCCCAGUAGUC